Molecule: ribosomal RNA, 568 nt
Filed under: Dinophysis acuminata
Lineage: Eukaryota; Dinophyceae; Dinophysales; Dinophysaceae
Description: partial Bacterial large subunit ribosomal RNA
Rfam family: Bacterial large subunit ribosomal RNA
Source: RNAcentral
GUGAAAUAGUACCUGAAACCGUGUGCCUACAAACAGUGGGAGCUCUUCGGAGUGACCGCGUACCUUUUGCAUAAUGAGCCAACGAGUUGCGUGUAGUGGCAAGGUUAAGCCGAGAGGUGUAGCCGUAAGGAAACUGAGUCUGAAUAGGGCGUACAGUCGCUGCAUGCAGACCCGAAGCCGAGUGAGCUACCCAUGGCCAGGUUGAAGCGUUGGUAAAACUUCGUGGAGGACCGAACACACAAAGGUUGAAAACUUUGGUGAUGAGCUGUGGGUCGGAGUGAAAGGCUAAUCAAACUCGGAAAUAGCUGGUUCUCCCCGAAAUGCAUUUACGUGCAGCGUUGGGUAGUACUGUCGGGGGUAAAGCACUGACAGGGCUAGGGGGCUUCACCGCCUACCAAACCCUAUCAAACUCUGAAUACCGACAAGUGACGCCCAGCAGUGAGGCUGCGGGAGAUAAGUUUCGUAGCCGAGAGGGAAAGAGCCCAGAUUCCCAGCUAAGGUCCCUAAGCCCUCACUAAGUGGUCGAGGAUGUAGGGGAGCCCAGACAACCAGGAGGUUGGCUUAGAAG